GACGAACGCGGGCGGCGUGCCUAAUACAUGCAAGUAGAACGCUGAAGGAGGAGCUUGCUUUCUGGAUGAGUUGCGAACGGGUGAGUAACGCGUAGGUAACCUGCCUGGUAGCGGGGGAUAACUAUUGGAAACGAUAGCUAAUACCGCAUAAUAGUAGUUGUUGCAUGACAACUGUUUGAAAGGUGCAAUUGCAUCACUACCAGAUGGACCUGCGUUGUAUUAGCUAGUUGGUGGGGUAACGGCUCACCAAGGCGACGAUACAUAGCCGACCUGAGAGGGCGAUCGGCCACACUGGGACUGAGACACGGCCCAGACUCCUACGGGAGGCAGCAGUAGGGAAUCUUCGGCAAUGGACGGAAGUCUGACCGAGCAACGCCGCGUGAGUGAAGAAGGUUUUCGGAUCGUAAAGCUCUGUUGUAAGAGAAGAAACGAGUGUGAGAAGUGGAAA
Molecule: ribosomal RNA, 448 nt
Filed under: Streptococcus mitis
Lineage: Bacteria; Bacillati; Bacillota; Bacilli; Lactobacillales; Streptococcaceae
Description: bacterial SSU rRNA
Rfam family: Bacterial small subunit ribosomal RNA
Source: RNAcentral